RNAcentral lists this microRNA (21 nucleotides) under Oryza sativa (Asian cultivated rice). Its description in RNAcentral is "osa-miR2863b". RNAcentral also lists the same sequence under 1 other name. The record is from miRBase by way of RNAcentral. Lineage: Eukaryota; Viridiplantae; Streptophyta; Magnoliopsida; Poales; Poaceae.
UUCGUUUAUUUGGACUAGAGU